UAGAACACAGCAACCAUGCGACUUUGAUUUUGUGUAGAUCCGGUUCAAUUAAAGACACAGACAGACACCUGAUGGACGGCCAUGCACAUAUUGGACCGGACGAAUAACUGAAGAGCUGAACAACUCACGACCUGGAGGAUCACAUGCACAACAUGCGCACUUCGCUGACCUCCUGCUGUGCGUGUCCAGACCAGAUGAAGACACUGACAUCAUCUACUGCAGAUUGACACCAGCAGGUGCACCAGACUUUCACAGUCUGAAGACUCCCUCUCAUCACAUUCACGACCACGUCACGUUCUUGUGCCUCUAAAUUUAAUUUCUGUUCCCUCUUGACUCAGAGGAGUCACACGGGUUAAUAACUGAGAUCCUGACUCGAUGCACCCUGCCAUGCAAGCGGACUGAGCAAAUCAUCCAGAGGAGAAUCACACUGGCAAGUGUGACGUCAUGUCUGACGCAGUGGAUUCACUGAACCUCAGAUGUGUAUCCAGGCGAUGUCCACGCUGUCACGGCACGAACAACCACUGAUGUGUGAGGAGU
This is a long non-coding RNA of Gasterosteus aculeatus aculeatus (three-spined stickleback), 537 nucleotides long. Lineage: Eukaryota; Metazoa; Chordata; Actinopteri; Perciformes; Gasterosteidae. The record is from Ensembl.